This 291-nucleotide unclassified non-coding RNA is filed under the name Hevea brasiliensis (rubber tree). Lineage: Eukaryota; Viridiplantae; Streptophyta; Magnoliopsida; Malpighiales; Euphorbiaceae. The record is from RNAcentral.
AACAUUUCCCCAGAAAAUGGGUCGACUUUUGGGUGAGCAAUCAUUGUAGUCUUGAGUUGGCCAUUGAAAUUGUAUCGCCCAACAGUUUUGAGGUCGCCAGAGGGAAGAACACGAACAUGGUAAGGCAAAUCAUCUUCAGACAUGGCAAGAAGACGACCGUCGAAGUAAACCAACCCAGCGUUAGCAACACCAGUCCCAUGGCUAGGAUCAACAAUACCAAAAAGCCCACGAGCAUAGAAUAGCAACAGCCUAGCUAUCCCAGAGUGGCCAUGGAGCUCACCGAUGGCCUUG